GAUGAACGCUGGCGACGUGCCUAAUACAUGCCAGUCGAGCGAACAGACGAGGAGCUUGCUCCUCUGACGUUAGCGGCGGACGGGUGAGUAACACGUGGAUAACCUACCUAUAAGACUGGGAUAACUUCGGGAAACCGGAGCUAAUACCGGAUAAUAUAUUGAACCGCAUGGUUCAAUAGUGAAAGACGGUUUUGCUGUCACUUAUAGAUGGAUCCGCGCCGCAUUAGCUAGUUGGUAAGGUAACGGCUUACCAAGGCAACGAUGCGUAGCCGACCUGAGAGGGUGAUCGGCCACACUGGAACUGAGACACGGUCCAGACUCCUACGGGAGGCAGCAGUAGGGAAUCUUCCGCAAUGGGCGAAAGCUUGACGGAGCAACGCCGCGUGAGUGAUGAAGGUCUUCGGAUCGUAAAACUCUGUUAUUAGGGAAGAACAAAUGUGUAAGUAACUAUGCACGUCUUGACGGUACCUAAUCAGAAAGCCACGGCUAACUACGUG
Molecule: ribosomal RNA, 497 nt
Filed under: uncultured bacterium
Lineage: Bacteria
Description: partial 16S ribosomal RNA
Rfam family: Bacterial small subunit ribosomal RNA
Source: RNAcentral